This 434-nucleotide ribosomal RNA is filed under the name uncultured soil bacterium. Its description in RNAcentral is "bacterial SSU rRNA". It matches the Rfam family "Bacterial small subunit ribosomal RNA", at positions 26 to 518 of the family's 1533-position model. The record is from RNAcentral.
AGAACGAACGCUGGCGGCAGGCUUAACACAUGCAAGUCGAGCGCCCCGCAAGGGGGAGCGGCAGACGGGUGAGUAACGCGUGGGAAUCUACCCAUCUCUACGGAACAACUCCGGGAAACUGGAGCUAAUACCGUAUACGCCCUUCGGGGAAAGAUUUAUCGGAGAUGGAUGAGCCCGCGUUGGAUUAGCUAGUUGGUGGGGUAAUGGCCUACCAAGGCGACGAUCCAUAGCUGGUCUGAGAGGAUGAUCAGCCACACUGGGACUGAGACACGCCAGACUCCUACGGGAGGCAGCAGUGGGGAAUAUUGGACAAUGGGCGAAAGCCUGAUCCAGCAAUGCCGCUGAGUGAUGAAGGCCGUAGGUGUAAGCUCUUUUACCGGAAGAUAAUGACUGUACCGGAGAAUAAGCCCGGACAACUCCGUGCCAGCAGCCGC